AACGUGAAAGCUUCAACGCCAUUUUGUUGUUAUCUAUGAUCCGCUCCUUACACUAUUGCGUAGAUAUUAAAGCGUCAAUUUGACAUUGUAUUGUAUUCAGUGUAUCCCUUUCAUUUUAAGAACUAAUAAAAGAGACGUGUUUAUUGAAUCCCGUUUUGAUUAUGCAUCAUGGUAAUUUUACCGCUAGAGAAUUACGUCCACCAGCACACAUGCAGAACAAAGUUCGAAAUGGCUAUAAUUGUUUGAUGUGUUAACUUAGUUUGUAAGUAUAAUAUUUCAGUCUUUAAAUAACGUUUUGCUUUUAUAAAGCCGUGUGAUUAAUUGUAAAUAUGAAUCUACAGUGUCCUGAGUGUUUGUUCUUGGUUCUGGAUUUAUAAUAAAGUUCGCAAGAAUCUAAAAAAGAACCUUGACGUGAUCUUAAAACAAAAUACUUGAAAAUUAUUGUAAAAGCGGACUAAAAGUUUAAGAUGAUUACGGAACAGAAAAUGGUUAUAAAAGCAAUACAUCCAAAGUGAAACAAUAAGUGCGAGAACUUGAAUGAUUUGUGCCUAAGCCGCGCCUUUUGAAUUGACAAAGUCAAAUCAAUGAAAACUAUCAUCACAUCGAAGUGUACUUAGCCUGAUUCAAAGACUCUACACCUGGUCUAACUACUUUCCAUGACUUCCCCACUAAUUCAGAACAGCAAAAGUUACUAGCUUCAAAUACCUUGUCGCACCUCAACUCUCCAUCCUGAAAUAUUUAAUCUGAGCAAAAACAUUGAGAAUCUGAUUUGUGUUAACAAUGAGCUGACAACAUCCUCUCCCAACACACUAACAACUUUGAGACAGCAACGCCUCUCCCCCAUACAAAAGUCAUAUGUGGAGUCCUAUAUGGAAAAACAAAUAAAAUGAGCCUGCCAACCUUUAAUUUAUGAAUCAUCAUUAGUAUCCAAUCGAGUUUCAAAUGAGGUAAAAUACUACAAAACCGCUGAUGCAGGGUAACAGGAUUACGGGCUGGAAAAAAUGCACCAAUCCAUUGUGAAUAAAAACACCUACAGAAGACUAAGAAGGUAUAGGCUGCCCUUGUUCCAUCAAACCUGUUUGGAAGUUGUAGUCACGUGACUUGUUAUGCUUUAAGUACCGCUACGAAUCAACCUGCACUAUCUUAUGACUAAAAAAUGUAGAGAAUGAAGAUCCUAGUACUUCAAGUUAAGCUUUAAAUACAUAGAGUAUGUAUCAACCUGCAAUUAUGAAGCAAAUUGUGACACUGACAGUAAGACCCAGAAGAUGAUGGCCACGCUUGCCCCUUCAAACCCUGUUUGAAAAACAAAUUUACUUACAUGUUUCAUCAGGCUUUCCUUCUACUAGCUGCUUGUAAAGUCUGCACUUCAUUUGACUGAAAAACUUAGUAAAUGACUACAGAUUCCUGACAACAAGCCCCUGCGGUUGUUUCGACACGUUUCCUGAACAAAAUUCUUUUGGAACAAAGUCCUAUUGAUGCAGACAAACACCUUUUGACCUAGAAUCUGUGAAGAGACGGAGUAGUCGCCGCGACGGAAAUGAAGAUAAAUAGAUUACAGUAUUUCUAGAAGAGAAAUUAGCAACACAAAUACUAUUUAUGAUCCCAAUAUGACAAAUGAAAGCCGUAACUCCGAGCGUCCUACACACUUGUCAAGAUAAUUCAACUUGAGUAAACUAGGAAAGGUAAAACUGAAAUGAAACGAGCCCAUAAGAUCACAGAAGAUAGCAUGGCAUGGCGCGAGUUCGUGCAGACACCCUAGAAGUGUCCUGGGACCAACAUCAUGUAUUAUGUUGUCAAUCAAAAAGAAAGUCUAUCUACAAUCUCUCCUGUUCUCUAGUCUAAUCAACCUGAGGUCUGCUGUCCGAUACCAUAACAAAUAAUCAGACUACAAGCUGUUUAAGAAGAUUUCACUAAUUAAGCUAUGCAUUUGACUCCAUGUGUAAUAUACAUGUAAUAUGUGACAGAAAUUUGUUACUUGGUCAAUAAUAAAGGAAAUAUUCCGCUUUAUUUCA
This is a long non-coding RNA of Cydia pomonella (codling moth), 2012 nucleotides long. RefSeq lists it as uncharacterized. The record is from RefSeq and is a predicted model, not a curated record. Lineage: Eukaryota; Metazoa; Arthropoda; Insecta; Lepidoptera; Tortricidae. The transcript is spliced from 5 exons.